RNAcentral lists this ribosomal RNA (504 nucleotides) under Colletotrichum gloeosporioides. RNAcentral's name for it is "eukaryotic LSU rRNA". The stretch from base 153 to 306 matches the Rfam family "5.8S ribosomal RNA". Lineage: Eukaryota; Fungi; Ascomycota; Sordariomycetes; Glomerellales; Glomerellaceae. The record is from RNAcentral.
CCUUUGUGAACUACCUAUAACUGUUGCUUCGGCGGGUAGGGUCCCCGUGACCCUCCCGGCCUCCCGCCCCCCGGGCGGGUCGGCGCCCGCCGGAGGAUAACCAAACUCUGAUUUAACGACGUUUCUUCUGAGUGGUACAAGCAAAUAAUCAAAACUUUUAACAACGGAUCUCUUGGUUCUGGCAUCGAUGAAGAACGCAGCGAAAUGCGAUAAGUAAUGUGAAUUGCAGAAUUCAGUGAAUCAUCGAAUCUUUGAACGCACAUUGCGCCCGCCAGCAUUCUGGCGGGCAUGCCUGUUCGAGCGUCAUUUCAACCCUCAAGCUCUGCUUGGUGUUGGGGCCCUACAGCUGAUGUAGGCCCUCAAAGGUAGUGGCGGACCCUCCCGGAGCCUCCUUUGCGUAGUAACUUUACGUCUCGCACUGGGAUCCGGAGGGACUCUUGCCGUAAAACCCCCAAUUUUCCAAAGGUUGACCUCGGAUCAGGUAGGAAUACCCGCUGAACUUAA